UACGCAGGGGGCAAGCGUUGUCCGGAAUUAUUGGGCGUAAAGAGCGUGUAGGCGGUCCGGUAAGUCGGCUGUGAAAGUCCAGGGCUCAACCCUGGGAUGCCGGUCGAUACUGCCGGACUAGAGUUCGGAAGAGGCGAGUGGAAUUCCCGGUGUAGCGGUGAAAUGCGCAGAUAUCGGGAGGAACACCUAUGGCGAAGGCAGCUCGCUGGGACGUUACUGACGCUGAGACGCGAAAGCGUGGGGAGCAAACAGG
This 253-nucleotide ribosomal RNA is filed under the name uncultured bacterium. RNAcentral describes it as "partial 16S ribosomal RNA". It matches the Rfam family "Bacterial small subunit ribosomal RNA", at positions 524 to 776 of the family's 1533-position model. The record is from RNAcentral.